RNAcentral lists this ribosomal RNA (588 nucleotides) under uncultured Massilia sp. RNAcentral describes it as "bacterial SSU rRNA". It matches the Rfam family "Bacterial small subunit ribosomal RNA", at positions 335 to 917 of the family's 1533-position model. Lineage: Bacteria; Pseudomonadati; Pseudomonadota; Betaproteobacteria; Burkholderiales; Oxalobacteraceae. The record is from RNAcentral.
ACUCCACGGGAGGCAGCAGUGGGGAAUUUUGGACAAUGGGCGAAAGCCUGAUCCAGCAAUGCCGCGUGAGUGAAGAAGGCCUUCGGGUUGUAAAGCUCUUUUGUCAGGGAAGAAACGGUGCGGGCUAAUAUCCUGCACUAAUGACGGUACCUGAAGAAUAAGCACCGGCUAACUACGUGCCAGCAGCCGCGGUAAUACGUAGGGUGCAAGCGUUAAUCGGAAUUACUGGGCGUAAAGCGUGCGCAGGCGGUUUUGUAAGUCUGUCGUGAAAUCCCCGGGCUCAACCUGGGAAUUGCGAUGGAGACUGCAAGGCUAGAAUCUGGCAGAGGGGGGUAGAAUUCCACGUGUAGCAGUGAAAUGCGUAGAGAUGUGGAGGAACACCGAUGGCGAAGGCAGCCCCCUGGGUCAAGAUUGACGCUCAUGCACGAAAGCGUGGGGAGCAAACAGGAUUAGAUACCCUGGUAGUCCACGCCCUAAACGAUGUCUACUAGUUGUCGGGUUUUAAUUAACUUGGUAACGCAGCUAACGCGUGAAGUAGACCGCCUGGGGAGUACGGUCGCAAGAUUAAAACUCAAAUGAAUUGACGGA